This 595-nucleotide ribosomal RNA is filed under the name Colletotrichum sp. ICMP 17322. RNAcentral's name for it is "eukaryotic LSU rRNA". The stretch from base 235 to 388 matches the Rfam family "5.8S ribosomal RNA". Lineage: Eukaryota; Fungi; Ascomycota; Sordariomycetes; Glomerellales; Glomerellaceae. The record is from RNAcentral.
UCGUAACAAGGUCUCCGUUGGUGAACCAGCGGAGGGAUCAUUACUGAGUUACCGCUCUAUAACCCUUUGUGAACAUACCUACAACUGUUGCUUCGGCGGGUAGGCCGUCCCCUGAAAAGGACGCCUCCCGGCCGGGACCGGACCCCCCGUGGGGCCGGACCCGGCGCCCGCCGGAGGAUAACCAAACGCUAUUUUAACGACGUUUCUUCUGAGUGGCAUAAGCAAAAUAAUCAAAACUUUUAACAACGGAUCUCUUGGUUCUGGCAUCGAUGAAGAACGCAGCGAAAUGCGAUAAGUAAUGUGAAUUGCAGAAUUCAGUGAAUCAUCGAAUCUUUGAACGCACAUUGCGCCCGCCAGCAUUCUGGCGGGCAUGCCUGUUCGAGCGUCAUUUCAACCCUCAAGCUCUGCUUGGUGUUGGGGCUCUACGGUCAACGUAGGCCCUCAAAGGUAGUGGCGGACCCUCCCGGAGCCUCCUUUGCGUAGUAACAUUUCGUCUCGCACUGGGAUCCGGAGGGACUCUUGCCGUAAAACCCCCCAAUUUUUCAAGGUUGACCUCGGAUCAGGUAGGAAUACCCGCUGAACUUAAGCAUAUCAA